ACGGGUGAGUAACACGUAGGAAUCUACCCUAAAGCGGGGGACAACCCGAGGAAACUCGGGCUAAUACCGCAUAAGUUCUGAGGAACAAAGCUGGGGUUAAACCUGGCACUUUAGGAGGAGCCUGCGUCUGAUUAGCUAGUUGGUAGGGUAAAGGCCUACCAAGGCGACGAUCAGUAGGUGGUCUGAGAGGAUGAUCACCCACACUGGGACUGAGACACGGCCCAGACUCCUACGGGAGGCAGCAGUGGGGAAUAUUGGACAAUGGGGGCAACCCUGAUCCAGCAAUGCCGCGUGUGUGAAGAAGGCCUUCGGGUUGUAAAGCACUUUAGGCGGGGAAGAAGGUUGGAAUUUUAAGAGAUAACUAACUUGACUGUACCCGCAGAAUAAGCACCGGCUAACUCUGUGCCAGCAGCCGCGGUAAUACAGAGGGUGCAAGCGUUAAUCGGAUUUACUGGGCGUAAAGGGCGCGUAGGUGGUUGCGUAAGUGAGAUGUGAAAUCCCCGGGCUUAACCUGGGACGUGCAUCUUAGACUGCGUAGCUUGAGUGUAGUAGAGGGUAGUGGAAUUUCCGGUGUAGC
RNAcentral lists this ribosomal RNA (577 nucleotides) under uncultured bacterium. RNAcentral describes it as "bacterial SSU rRNA". It matches the Rfam family "Bacterial small subunit ribosomal RNA", at positions 102 to 679 of the family's 1533-position model. The record is from RNAcentral.